AUACGAAGGGCCCGAGCGUAGCGCGGAAUCACUGGGCUUAAAGGGUGCGUAGGCUGGACCGCCAGUGCUUUGUGAAAUCCCACAGCUCAACUGUGGAACUGCUUGGCAUACUGCGGUCCUUGAGCUCGACAGAGGUCGUCGGAACUCUAGGUGUAGCGGUGAAAUGCGUAGAUAUCUAGAGGAACGCCAAAGGUGAAGACAGGCAACUGGGCCGUUCCUGACGCUGAGGUACGAAAGCGUGGGUAGCAAACGGGAUUAGAAACCCCAGUAGUCC
This 274-nucleotide ribosomal RNA is filed under the name uncultured bacterium. RNAcentral's name for it is "partial 16S ribosomal RNA". It matches the Rfam family "Bacterial small subunit ribosomal RNA", at positions 523 to 796 of the family's 1533-position model. The record is from RNAcentral.